This is a long non-coding RNA of Athalia rosae (coleseed sawfly), 639 nucleotides long. RefSeq lists it as uncharacterized. NCBI's taxonomy places the organism in Eukaryota, Metazoa, Arthropoda, Insecta, Hymenoptera, Athaliidae. The transcript has 2 exons. The record is from RefSeq and is a predicted model, not a curated record.
UAGUUGCUUUUGUUUCCCUUGUCAAUCUUCGUUAGGCGCGGUAGAGGAGCGAAGGAAUCGCUGAUUAUUGGCGCUCGCUCGCAACGCGCGAGCGGGAUCGCGUUGUACUGUAACCCAGGGGUUCUCAAGCCGCCUGAAGUUGGCCGUGUCGGGUGCCGUACUCGUCGCUUUUUCUCGUCUCUCGGGAUUUUUUUAAGGUUCGCCAUGGGGAGAAGGAACAACCGAUCGUGCGGAUCGUGCAAAUGUGAGGGGCGAACAACUUAACCGGAGCUGGCGGUCUCCUUUUCCACUGGCGGGCUUGGCUGCUCUCCUGUCUUUGGUUCCUGUCCAGCAAGAGCUGCUUUGUUCUGCCUCACUAUCUCCGCACGCCUCUCCUUUUGUAACAAGCAAUUAUUAUUUUCAUAUAAAUAAACUUAUGUUUUGUUCUUUUAUCACACACUCAAGCAAUCAACUGUUACGACUAAUCAUUACUGCAGCUAUAGCAACACAUGACACGACUAGUUAAGCAUCACGAUACUAUUUUUUAUGUUAUACUAAAAUUUGUUGAGGUUAAAACUUUGUGCAAUAUCUAAAACAGAGCACAUGCUUCGAUGCAAAAUUAAAUGAUAACGAAUAAAAUUGAAAUAAAUUAUCCGCAAA